CCGAGAUCUUUUCUUUCAAAACAUGAGCAGCUUUUCAGAGAUUUUCUAUGGGCUUAUACAGCGGUAGUAGAGAUAUACAUCUUCUCAGCUCGGAUGUUGUCUGUGAGUAUUUAUUCCUUGUUUAUCCAUCGAGAGGUUUUGAUUGCCAGGUAUGGUGUGAGAUUUUUAAAUCAACUGGAUGGUCUACAGAGCAUGAUGAAACGGGCUAGAUAUGGUUGGGGACUUCAAAGAGAGCUGUUGUUAGAGGCCGAAGGAGCUCCUUUAUAUGGAAGG
Molecule: long non-coding RNA, 273 nt
Filed under: Elaeis guineensis (African oil palm)
Lineage: Eukaryota; Viridiplantae; Streptophyta; Magnoliopsida; Arecales; Arecaceae
Description: long non-coding RNA (EGUI_LNC027135)
Source: RNAcentral